GAGGAGGGAGGAUGUCUUGAGCCUGGGAGGUUGAGGCUACAGUAAGCUGUGAUUGCACCACUGCACUCCAGCCUGAGUGACAGAGCAAGACUCUGUCUC
RNAcentral lists this microRNA precursor (99 nucleotides) under Aotus nancymaae (Ma's night monkey). RNAcentral describes it as "miRNA (ENSANAG00000001426.1)". Lineage: Eukaryota; Metazoa; Chordata; Mammalia; Primates; Aotidae. The record is from RNAcentral.